CCAGACAAAGUGGUUUCAGCUGUGGGUGAUGCUCUGCACCUGAAGGUCAUCUGCAGUGGAAGGUGACAGUGGGAAUGCCAUGAAAGGGCAGAAGUUAUACAAUGGCCAUGAUCACCUUUAAGUCUACAUAGUCAGUAAAUCCUGGAUGGAUAAGGGUCUCCCAACCCUCUGAAGAGUGUUGAGACCAAAGAUUCAUCCACAAAAAGAAAUUAUAUUUCUCUGGUCAUUUACAAACCAACUUUUCUUCUUUCUACAAAUAUAAACUUCUAUGUAAAAAUGCAAAGACUCUUCCCAUGAUGUUCUCCAUGUUGGAGAUUUCUUGUGUUACUCACUGUAGGAUACGGAGAUUUCAAAUGAAUGAAACUCUUGCUAAAAUUCAGCAGGCUAUGGAGGAAUUAGACUAGACUGUACACACAAACUGCAUGGAAAAUUUAA
This is a long non-coding RNA of Passer domesticus (house sparrow), 435 nucleotides long. RefSeq lists it as uncharacterized. The transcript has 3 exons. Lineage: Eukaryota; Metazoa; Chordata; Aves; Passeriformes; Passeridae. The record is from RefSeq and is a predicted model, not a curated record.